CAAUCUGAACUUGUGUUAUUUCACCAACCAUUUACUGGGUCUUGUUAUGUAGUUGACAUUCAACUAUAGUCAUGUGAAUGUUAAAGCUUAUGCUGUUUUGUCUUCUCUUAUCGAGAACAGCAUCCUCAAAAUUCUGGACUUUAAUCGUGGAUUUGCUUUCAUUUUGCACUGCAACAACAUAUGUGCUGACUGUUCAAGGCAAAAAGUGGCAAGUUCUAUUUUCAAGCUGGAUGGCAGUCCCCCUACUGUCACAUGGGCUGAUCCAAAGAGUGCACCCGAUCACUCUGCUGCAUCUCAGCAAUCGAAGAUCAAGGAAGCAGUUGGUCUGCUGAGGCCUCACUUUCAAGAGUUGGAAGCCAUGGCAACAAUGGACUUCACUGCACUGCCAGUCGUAGGAUCAAGUUCUGUCACGCCAAGCUGAGGGAGUAGUUGCCCGGCCAUAGACUCUUUUGUGAGAUUCCAAAAUAGACGGGAGGAUCAUUUUAGCUGUACAAUUUUUGUUUCUUGGCCCUUGACGUAAUCAGUUCAUGUUAAUCAAUGAAAUGUCAGUUUGCUG
This is a long non-coding RNA of Syzygium oleosum, 556 nucleotides long. RefSeq lists it as uncharacterized. The transcript has 2 exons. NCBI's taxonomy places the organism in Eukaryota, Viridiplantae, Streptophyta, Magnoliopsida, Myrtales, Myrtaceae. The record is from RefSeq and is a predicted model, not a curated record.